Molecule: ribosomal RNA, 253 nt
Filed under: uncultured bacterium
Lineage: Bacteria
Description: partial 16S ribosomal RNA
Rfam family: Bacterial small subunit ribosomal RNA
Source: RNAcentral
UACGUAGGGCGCAAGCGUUAUCCGGAAUUAUUGGGCGUAAAGAGCUCGUAGGCGGUUUGUCGCGUCUGCCGUGAAAGUCCGGGGCUCAACUCCGGAUCUGCGGUGGGUACGGGCAGACUAGAGUGAUGUAGGGGAGACUGGAAUUCCUGGUGUAGCGGUGAAAUGCGCAGAUAUCAGGAAGAACACCCGUGGCUAAGGCGGCUCUCUAGUACGUGACUGACGCUGAGACGCGAAAGCGUGGGGAGCGAACGGG